GACGAACGCUGGCGGCGUGCUUAACACAUGCAAGUCGAACGGAAAGGCCCUGCUUUUGUGGGGUGCUCGAGUGGCGAACGGGUGAGUAACACGUGAGUAACCUGCCCUUGACUUUGGGAUAACUUCAGGAAACUGGGGCUAAUACCGGAUAGGAGCUCCUGCUGCAUGGUGGGGGUUGGAAAGUUUCGGCGGUUGGGGAUGGACUCGCGGCUUAUCAGCUUGUUGGUGGGGUAGUGGCUUACCAAGGCUUUGACGGGUAGCCGGCCUGAGAGGGUGACCGGCCACAUUGGGACUGAGAUACGGCCCAGACUCCUACGGGAGGCAGCAGUGGGGAAUAUUGCACAAUGGGCGGAAGCCUGAUGCAGCAACGCCGCGUGCGGGAUGACGGCCUUCGGGUUGUAAACCGCUUUCGCCUGUGACGAAGCGUGAGUGACGGUAAUGGGUAAAGAAGCACCGGCUAACUACGUGCCAGCAGCCGCGGUGAUACGUAGGGUGCGAGCGUUGUCCGGAUUUAUUGGGCGUAAAGGGCUCGUAGGUGGUUGAUCGCGUCGGAAGUGUAAUCUUGGGGCUUAACCCCUGAGCGUGCUUUCGAUACGGGUUGACUUGAGGAAGGUAGGGGAGAAUGGAAUUCCUGGUGGAGCGGUGGAAUGCGCAGAUAUCAGGAGGAACACCAGUGGCGAAGGCGGUUCUCUGGGCCUUUCCUGACGCUGAGGAGCGAAAGCGUGGGGAGCGAACAGGCUUAGAUACCCUGGUAGUCCACGCUGUAAACGGUGGGUACUAGGUGUGGGGUCCAUUCCACGGGUUCCGUGCCGUAGCUAGCGCUUUAAGUACCCCGCCUGGGGAGUACGGCCGCAAGGCUAAAACUCAAAGGAAUUGACGGGGCCCCGCACAAGCGGCGGAGCAUGCGGAUUAAUUCGAUGCAACGCGUAGAACCUUACCUGGGUUUGACAUGGAUCGGGAGCGCUCAGAGAUGGGUGUGCCUCUUUUGGGGUCGGUUCACAGGUGGUGCAUGGCUGUCGUCAGCUCGUGUCGUGAGAUGUUGGGUUAAGUCCCGCAACGAGCGCAACCCUUGUUCACUGUUGCCAGCACGUUAUGGUGGGGACUCAGUGGAGACCGCCGGGGUCAACUCGGAGGAAGGUGGGGAUGACGUCAAGUCAUCAUGCCCCUUAUGUCCAGGGCUUCACGCAUGCUACAAUGGCUGGUACAGAGAGUGGCGAGCCUGUGAGGGUGAGCGAAUCUCGGAAAGCCGGUCUCAGUUCGGAUUGGGGUCUGCAACUCGACCUCAUGAAGUCGGAGUCGCUAGUAAUCGCAGAUCAGCAACGCUGCGGUGAAUACGUUCCCGGG
This 1344-nucleotide ribosomal RNA is filed under the name uncultured bacterium. RNAcentral describes it as "16S ribosomal RNA". It matches the Rfam family "Bacterial small subunit ribosomal RNA", at positions 28 to 1378 of the family's 1533-position model. The record is from RNAcentral.